ACCUACGGGAGGCAGCAGUAGGGAAUUUUCGUCAAUGGGCGCAAGCCUGAACGAGCAAUGCCGCGUGAACGAGGAUGGUCUUCGGAUCGUAAAGUUCUGUUGAAGGGGAAAAAGAGCGGAGAGAGGAAAUGGUCUCCGAUUGAUAUUACCCUUCGAGGAAGUCACGGCUAACUACGUGCCAGCAGCCGCGGUAAUACGUAGGUGGCGAGCGUUAUCCGGAGUGAUUGGGCGUAAAGGGUGCGUAGGCGGCCUGCUAAGUCUGGAGUGAAAGGUACCGGCUCAACCGGUACAGGCUCUGGAAACUG
RNAcentral lists this ribosomal RNA (305 nucleotides) under uncultured bacterium. RNAcentral describes it as "bacterial SSU rRNA". It matches the Rfam family "Bacterial small subunit ribosomal RNA", at positions 337 to 635 of the family's 1533-position model. The record is from RNAcentral.